AAUAAAGUGCCUGAAAAAAGGAUUUUUUUGAUGGAAUAAAAAAUGUAAUUUAUUUACCUUUAUUA
Molecule: transfer RNA, 65 nt
Filed under: Cimbex luteus
Lineage: Eukaryota; Metazoa; Arthropoda; Insecta; Hymenoptera; Cimbicidae
Description: tRNA-Ile
Source: RNAcentral